This is a regulatory RNA element of Clostridium sp. CAG:299, 193 nucleotides long. Lineage: Bacteria; Bacillati; Bacillota; Clostridia; Eubacteriales; Clostridiaceae. The record is from Rfam.
UUCGAUUCUAUAUGGUGCGGUGUCUGCGUUUUCAUUCCGCAGAAGAAUAGAGAAGCGAGGUGAAAUUCCUCCACGGUCACGCCGCUGUAAAAGAAGAGUUUCCUCUUUUUAUGCCACUGAGUCUGAUACUGGGGAAGGCGAGAGGAAAUGUGGACGCUUGAGUCAGAAGAACUGCCCGCCAGAAUAGAAGAUC